UACGUAGGGUGCAAGCGUUAUCCGGAAUUAUUGGGCGUAAAGCGCACGUAGGCGGUUCGUUAAGUCGGAUGUGAAAGCCCUCGGCUCAACUGAGGAAGUGCACCCGAAACUGGCGAGCUUGAGUACGAAAGAGGAUCGCGGAAUUCCCGGUGUAGAGGUGAAAUUCGUAGAUAUCGGGAGGAACACCGGUGGCGAAGGCGGCGAUCUGGGUCGAUACUGACGCUGAGGUGCGAAAGCGUGGGGAGCAAACAGG
This 253-nucleotide ribosomal RNA is filed under the name uncultured bacterium. RNAcentral's name for it is "partial 16S ribosomal RNA". It matches the Rfam family "Bacterial small subunit ribosomal RNA", at positions 524 to 776 of the family's 1533-position model. The record is from RNAcentral.